Molecule: ribosomal RNA, 486 nt
Filed under: uncultured bacterium
Lineage: Bacteria
Description: partial 16S ribosomal RNA
Rfam family: Bacterial small subunit ribosomal RNA
Source: RNAcentral
AUUGAACGCUGGCGGCAUGCCUUACACAUGCAAGUCGAACGGCAGCACGGGUGCUUGCACCUGGUGGCGAGUGGCGAACGGGUGAGUAAUACAUCGGAACAUGUCCUGUAGUGGGGGAUAGCCCGGCGAAAGCCGGAUUAAUACCGCAUACGAUCUACGGAUGACAGCGGGGGACCUUCGGGCCUCGCGCUAUAGGGUUGGCCGAUGGCUGAUUAGCUAGUUGGUGGGGUAAAGGCCUACCAAGGCGACGAUCAGUAGCUGGUCUGAGAGGACGACCAGCCACACUGGGACUGAGACACGGCCCAGACUCCUAAGGGAGGCAGCAGUGGGGAAUUUUGGACAAUGGGCGAAAGCCUGAUCCAGCAAUGCCGCGUGUGUGAAGAAGGCCUUCGGGUUGUAAAGCACUUUUGUCCGGAAAGAAAUCCUUGGCCCUAAUACGGUCGGGGGAUGACGGUACCGGAAGAAUAAGCACCGGCUAACUACGUG